CCCUUAGAUGUUCUGGGCUGCACGCGUGCUACAAUGAAGCGUCCAACAAGAUGCGAAGCCGAAAGGCUCAGCGGAUCUUUGAAGUCGUUUCGUGACCGGGACAGUUGAUUGCAAUUAUUCGACUCGAACGAGGAAUUCCUUGUAAUCGCGAUUCAUCAUAUCGCGCUGAAUACGUCCCUGCCCUUUGUACACACCGCCCGUCGCUCCUACCGAUUGAAUGGUCCGGUGAAGCGUUCGGACCGUGGCCUUUGGACGGUUCGCCGUCUGUUGGCUGCGGGAAGUUCGUUAAACCUUAUCAUUUAGAGGAAGGAGAAGUCGUAACA
This 323-nucleotide ribosomal RNA is filed under the name uncultured eukaryote. RNAcentral describes it as "partial 18S ribosomal RNA". It matches the Rfam family "Eukaryotic small subunit ribosomal RNA", at positions 1470 to 1796 of the family's 1831-position model. The record is from RNAcentral.